RNAcentral lists this transfer RNA (71 nucleotides) under Marmota monax (woodchuck). Its description in RNAcentral is "tRNA.Ala". Lineage: Eukaryota; Metazoa; Chordata; Mammalia; Rodentia; Sciuridae. The record is from RNAcentral.
GGGGUUGUGGCUUAGUGGUAGAGUGCUUGCUUAGCAUGUGCAAGGCCUUGAGUUUGAUCCUCAGCACCACA